This 2923-nucleotide ribosomal RNA is filed under the name Klebsiella pneumoniae. Its description in RNAcentral is "bacterial LSU rRNA". It matches the Rfam family "Bacterial large subunit ribosomal RNA". Lineage: Bacteria; Pseudomonadati; Pseudomonadota; Gammaproteobacteria; Enterobacterales; Enterobacteriaceae. The record is from RNAcentral.
GGGUUGUGAGGUUAAGCGACUAAGCGUACACGGUGGAUGCCCUGGCAGUCAGAGGCGAUGAAGGACGUGCUAAUCUGCGAAAAGCGUCGGUAAGGUGAUAUGAACCGUUACAGCCGGCGAUGUCCGAAUGGGGAAACCCAGUGUGAUUCGUCACACUAUCGUUAACUGAAUACAUAGGUUAACGAGGCGAACCGGGGGAACUGAAACAUCUAAGUACCCCGAGGAAAAGAAAUCAACCGAGAUUCCCCCAGUAGCGGCGAGCGAACGGGGAGCAGCCCAGAGUCUGAAUCAGCUUGUGUGUUAGUGGAACGGUCUGGAAAGUCCGACGGUACAGGGUGAUAGUCCCGUACACCAAAAUGCACAGGCUGUGAACUCGAAGAGUAGGGCGGGACACGUGGUAUCCUGUCUGAAUAUGGGGGGACCAUCCUCCAAGGCUAAAUACUCCUGACUGACCGAUAGUGAACCAGUACCGUGAGGGAAAGGCGAAAAGAACCCCGGCGAGGGGAGUGAAAAAGAACCUGAAACCGUGUACGUACAAGCAGUGGGAGCACCUUCGGGUGUGACUGCGUACCUUUUGUAUAAUGGGUCAGCGACUUAUAUUCUGUAGCAAGGUUAACCGUAUAGGGGAGCCGCAGGGAAACCGAGUCUUAACUGGGCGUUAAGUUGCAGGGUAUAGACCCGAAACCCGGUGAUCUAGCCAUGGGCAGGUUGAAGGUUGGGUAACACUAACUGGAGGACCGAACCGACUAAUGUUGAAAAAUUAGCGGAUGACUUGUGGCUGGGGGUGAAAGGCCAAUCAAACCGGGAGAUAGCUGGUUCUCCCCGAAAGCUAUUUAGGUAGCGCCUCGUGAACUCAUCUUCGGGGGUAGAGCACUGUUUCGGCUAGGGGGUCAUCCCGACUUACCAACCCGAUGCAAACUACGAAUACCGAAGAAUGUUAUCACGGGAGACACACGGCGGGUGCUAACGUCCGUCGUGAAGAGGGAAACAACCCAGACCGCCAGCUAAGGUCCCAAAGUCAUGGUUAAGUGGGAAACGAUGUGGGAAGGCACAGACAGCCAGGAUGUUGGCUUAGAAGCAGCCAUCAUUUAAAGAAAGCGUAAUAGCUCACUGGUCGAGUCGGCCUGCGCGGAAGAUGUAACGGGGCUAAACCAUGCACCGAAGCUGCGGCAGCGACACUAUGUGUUGUUGGGUAGGGGAGCGUUCUGUAAGCCUGCGAAGGUGUGCUGUGAGGCAUGCUGGAGGUAUCAGAAGUGCGAAUGCUGACAUAAGUAACGAUAAAGCGGGUGAAAAGCCCGCUCGCCGGAAGACCAAGGGUUCCUGUCCAACGUUAAUCGGGGCAGGGUGAGUCGACCCCUAAGGCGAGGCCGAAAGGCGUAGUCGAUGGGAAACAGGUUAAUAUUCCUGUACUUGGUGUUACUGCGAAGGGGGGACGGAGAAGGCUAUGUUAGCCGGGCGACGGUUGUCCCGGUUUAAGCAUGUAGGCUGGUUAUCCAGGCAAAUCCGGAUAAUCAAGGCUGAGGUGUGAUGACGAGGCACUACGGUGCUGAAGUAACAAAUGCCCUGCUUCCAGGAAAAGCCUCUAAGCAUCAGGUAACAUCAAAUCGUACCCCAAACCGACACAGGUGGUCAGGUAGAGAAUACCAAGGCGCUUGAGAGAACUCGGGUGAAGGAACUAGGCAAAAUGGUGCCGUAACUUCGGGAGAAGGCACGCUGGUGUGUAGGUGAAGCCCCUGCGGGUGGAGCUGAGACCAGUCGAAGAUACCAGCUGGCUGCAACUGUUUAUUAAAAACACAGCACUGUGCAAACACGAAAGUGGACGUAUACGGUGUGACGCCUGCCCGGUGCCGGAAGGUUAAUUGAUGGGGUUAUCCGUAAGGAGAAGCUCUUGAUCGAAGCCCCGGUAAACGGCGGCCGUAACUAUAACGGUCCUAAGGUAGCGAAAUUCCUUGUCGGGUAAGUUCCGACCUGCACGAAUGGCGUAAUGAUGGCCAGGCUGUCUCCACCCGAGACUCAGUGAAAUUGAACUCGCUGUGAAGAUGCAGUGUACCCGCGGCAAGACGGAAAGACCCCGUGAACCUUUACUAUAGCUUGACACUGAACAUUGAGCCUUGAUGUGUAGGAUAGGUGGGAGGCUUUGAAGCGUGGACGCCAGUCUGCGUGGAGCCAACCUUGAAAUACCACCCUUUAAUGUUUGAUGUUCUAACGUUGGCCCCUGACCGGGGUUGCGGACAGUGUCUGGUGGGUAGUUUGACUGGGGCGGUCUCCUCCCAAAGCGUAACGGAGGAGCACGAAGGUUAGCUAAUCCUGGUCGGACAUCAGGAGGUUAGUGCAAUGGCAUAAGCUAGCUUGACUGCGAGCGUGACGGCGCGAGCAGGUGCGAAAGCAGGUCAUAGUGAUCCGGUGGUUCUGAAUGGAAGGGCCAUCGCUCAACGGAUAAAAGGUACUCCGGGGAUAACAGGCUGAUACCGCCCAAGAGUUCAUAUCGACGGCGGUGUUUGGCACCUCGAUGUCGGCUCAUCACAUCCUGGGGCUGAAGUAGGUCCCAAGGGUAUGGCUGUUCGCCAUUUAAAGUGGUACGCGAGCUGGGUUUAGAACGUCGUGAGACAGUUCGGUCCCUAUCUGCCGUGGGCGCUGGAGAAUUGAGGGGGGCUGCUCCUAGUACGAGAGGACCGGAGUGGACGCAUCACUGGUGUUCGGGUUGUCAUGCCAAUGGCACUGCCCGGUAGCUAAAUGCGGAAGAGAUAAGUGCUGAAAGCAUCUAAGCACGAAACUUGCCCCGAGAUGAGUUCUCCCUGAGACUUUAAGUCUCCUGAAGGAACGUUGAAGACGACGACGUUGAUAGGCCGGGUGUGUAAGCGCAGCGAUGCGUUGAGCUAACCGGUACUAAUGAACCGUGAGGCUUAACCUUACAACGCCGAAG